CAAGGACUGAACCCAAUCUGGAUCAAUUUUGAGUGAUAUUGGUGGGAUUUCAGGUAUUUGUAGUGGGCGGUAAAGGAUCGGAAAGGGUAUACCCAACAACAACUUGACGAGGUCCGCAUUGAAGUAGCCGACUACUUACAGACUCUGUUGUAGGUUCUGACCAGUUUCUUGAUUUUGAGUUAGUUUUAACUAACUUUUUGUAGCAAUUAUGAACAAACAAGAAUACUAAUUGCUAGGCUAGCCUUGUAGUAUAUAGGUGCAUAUAUGAAUUGGGGUUUUAUUUUGCCCAUUUUGUAAACUGUUAAGGAUGAUGAAUGUCGGAUAUAAUACCCCAAUUUGCAAUUUAUAAUCACAGUUCUAUUUUGUGGACA
Rosa chinensis is the source of this 371-nucleotide long non-coding RNA. RefSeq lists it as uncharacterized. The transcript is spliced from 2 exons. The record is from RefSeq and is a predicted model, not a curated record. Lineage: Eukaryota; Viridiplantae; Streptophyta; Magnoliopsida; Rosales; Rosaceae.